Molecule: long non-coding RNA, 595 nt
Organism: Penaeus chinensis
Lineage: Eukaryota; Metazoa; Arthropoda; Malacostraca; Decapoda; Penaeidae
Exons: 2
Source: RefSeq, a predicted model, not a curated record
GGAAGGAAUGCCCUACGAGUUCGAGUGGGGCGUCGAGGACCAGGAGAGCGGCAACACCUUCAGCCACGUCGAAAGCAGUGACGGCCAGACGACCCAGGGCGAGUACCGCGUCCUGCUCCCCGACGGACGAACGCAGGUGGUGUCAUUUUUCGACAACGGAGAUGGGUACAACGCCGUCGUGACGUAUGAGUGAAAACUCCAUUCUUCAAUUUCAUUGAUUACGCUGCGGGCUCUGGCGUCAUCGUUUAUUGUGACGUCAUAACUGUGGCUUGUGACGUCGUCGUUGCACUUCAUGACGUCACGCUCCUUGUCCUCUAAGUCUCCUAUCGUUAGUCAUGUCUACCCAACAUACUCUGUACUAAAAGGACACUCUGAUGUUGCUCAUGAUAUUCUGUUCAUUCUACUGCAUUCUGGUGGUAUUAUCAUGUUGACGUGGUAAUAUGCGCUUGACAAGCCAAAAUAAACGGACUUGCUUUCUGUUACACUUCAACUAGUAUGUUAUGCUGUGCAUUACCAUGCUUAUGUCGUAAAACGUUUAUUUUUUUAUAAAUAAUCUAGUUACUUUGAUAAAUAAAGUAUAAACUUUAUACAAAUG